UUUUCAUAUCUGUUUUUUACUUGAUUUGUUAUUUGAUUAAGAGACGUGGGGGUGAACAAUGUAGUGGUACGUACUGUAGGAGUAUUUUAUGUGUUUUUCUCAUAGUGAGGAGUCAAUCACGAGGAAUAGUGGCAUAGACAUGUCUCCAUGUAUUCCUAUUGUUAACUAGAGAUUAAUUUCUUAAAAAAUAAAACAUAUUUAGACAUCAAAGUUUUAAAUUAAUAUUGUAUAUAAAGAUAAAUUACGAUUUCAAGAGUCAAAUAAUGAAACUCAAAUUUAGAAGUAAGAAUAAUAAGAUACGUGAUUCUCACAUGCAUGAUUCUCAUACACAGUGAUGUUUCUUCGAAUUAAUGAUCCAAUCGUAUUCUGAUAGUUUUCUGAUUCUAGUAUGAAGUUUUAGUAUCUCACUCGUAGAUAGUAGCAGUGACAUAAAUAAAGAUUAUAAGAGCGAUUUCAUCUUUUCACCAAGCCCAUAAGCCACACUGAUAAUCUCCAGAUAAGAAGCACAUCUUUACAGGUAACAUUGGUUUGGUUCGUAUGUAACUUGUAGAGAAAGAAAAAGAAUAUAAAAUGCAAAGCUAUAACUCUAAUAUACUAAUUACUUAAUUACUACUAACAUUCUUAAUGCAUUGUCACCUAGUGAGGUGUGAACAACGAGGGGUGGCAUUAUCAUGUUGAUGCGGACAUGUAAAGCAACAUAUUCUCACCACCCCCACAAAAUUAUUUUAUUACCUAAUUUUAAUAAUUCGAAUAUAAUAUUAUAACUUUUAUCAUAUUUUAUUGAGUCAAUGAUAAAAUAUGGUAUUAAAUAAUUCUGACAAAUCCAGUUUAUCAUAACUAAUAAUGGAUUUUUGUUUUAUCUUUUGGCGAAGGAAAAGUAGAAUAAUGCACAGCUUCGUAUAAGGGGGAGAGCACACAAAUCACAUCAAUUCAACUAUUACGGCUCUACAAAAAAAGGACCCAAACUAAGGUAAUAUUACCAAACUGCCAUUAGGGAUUUAACUUUAUUUAUUACGAAAACAAAAGAUAAGAAUUAAACUCCUGUAUUAUUUAAAAGUAUCAAAUCAUUAAUAUCCGUAGAGUUUCGUUUUUUCUAAUUAAUAGAUAUAUGGUUAGAAUGGUAAUGAUCUUUUAGAAUUGAGUUGAUAUUAAUUGAAUAAUAUGAUCUAACUGAUAGAAAUAAUCAAAAUGGUAGAUCUUACGAUAAAAAACUUACAAGCACAAAGUGCUUUGUACUUUUACAAGCACUAUAUAUAUAACCUAACUCACACUAUAAAUAUAGUUAAAAUAUAUUUGGCAAAAUAUUAACUAAUAUUAUUUUUUGAAAAUAUUAAAAGUGAAAAUUUUUUAGAAGUUAUUAGUUAGUUCAACAGUUAUUAUUUAUAUAUCUCCUAAGAUAUAUAUAGAGAGAUUAUGGAUUGAGUGGGCAUUAAAAAUAGAGCUAAUUCUCUUAAAAUUGUCAACUUUAAAAUUUGGCCAAACUCAAACUCUCCUUCCUCUUAGAUCCCAAAUAUGCCCUUCAAGGUAAGCACAUUUAGGAUGUGAUUUAGGGGUGUUUUAGUCAAUUCGGGCACUGCUAGUGUUCCAGGGAACAGAGGGCAAUGGUCGAGGUUGGGUCAUGUGAUGGAAGGAGGGAUGUGAUGGGUGAUGAUUGAAGGCACGUGACACUAACCAAGAAUAGGAAUAGUAGUGUUGGGAUUUAAAUAUUUACUAAUCACAGGUUUAAUGGGAUAAUUAAGAGAAUUAAUUAAAUAUGGUGUUAAAGGUGGUGGUUGCAGCUAAGAUUCACUGGGUGUUGGGGCUGGAUGGCACGUGCGGAUGGGUCAGAUCUCACAUGGGGCUUGACCAGGGCUUAAACCCUUUUCACACAAAUGAGCUCAUCGCUAGUAAGAUUACCAAACUUAAAAGAGUUUUUGUUUGGCAAUGAAAAUAAAAAAUUUAGAUUAUUAGAUUAAGCAGAUGUAAAUGCGUAAUGUUGUUUGAUAGAAUAUUAUACUACCCGAGCUAUUAGAAUGAACAUUAUUUUAAUAUUCUUUAAAAAUUAUAGCAAUAUUAAAAAUAUCAAAUUGAAGCAAUUUUCUUUUCGAUUUAAUUUUAUUUCUAUUUUUCAUUAUAGCUGAAGUUCUAAAUUUUUUUCUUUUCCAAACGUACGCUUCAUCUAAUGUUGUUGUUGCCAUUCCGAGCUUCAACUACAAGAAAUAUCUAUUAGAGAAUUUUAAUUUAAUAUAUUUUUUAAAAUAUGCUAUUUAAGUAACACUUUAUUCAACGGCACUAUAUCUUGUGAUAAAUCAAACAUAUAUACACACACACACACACACACACACACACACGUAAGAGGAGGGAGAAAAAUGUCCCACGCGCGAGAUCUGAGGGUCGUAAAGUAUUCGCCCAUGUGGACGGAAGGGAUCAGAUCACGUGUAUUAAGAGUGAGAUUUGAUGCUUGUAUUGGCUUUUCGAGACCAGUUUUGAGUAUUAAUUUGAAAGGAGAUCUGAAUGUUAGUUUAAAUUUUAGAAAUAUAACCUUUUGAUUGCUUUGACAAAAGAGUAAAAGAGUAUCUUAAGUUAAGCUCAAAUUAUUUCUUAAAGUUUAUGAAAUAACGCUUUGUUUAAGAAAGCCGAUAAUAAUGCGCGCCGAUCAAGUUGUGAGGCACUAUAAAAAGAAGUCCUAUAAGAGGAUAUUUUUAGGAAAAGUACUUCUAUUAUCAUUUUUAUCUAUUGUUCGUAGUAUAUAUUAUACAAUCUCUAAUUUAGCGGGCCAAAUUUUUUAAGAAAGAAAUCAUAUAUUGUAUCAUUCAGCCACUUAUUGCAAAUUUCACAUGACUUAUGAACAGACUUUUAUAAUACAAAAUUAUUUCAAGUACUAGCUAAAUAAAAAGUCGGGGCUUUUGCUAUGACAAAAAAGUUCUAGAGUGCCAGUAUAAAUGAAAGUUUCAAUCUGCGAAAGUCUUUACGUCAACUGCGGUUCAAUUUUGCUCAAAUAAUACUUCUGUCGCUCCAACCGGGCCUCAUGGGCUAGAUCAUAGUUCAGAUGCCUUUUACUUUGGGUAUAUGGGCCAAGCCAAAUCCACCUGAUGAGCUUAGUCAAAAUGUGUGUGCAAAUCUAGUUUGGAUAUAAGAUCUCUAUGCUUAUAUUAUUUUCGACUUGGUUGGUGCGCCGAACUCAACGAACCUAGCCCCAUAGUGAGAAGUAAUUAAUUUUUGGAGAAACUUCAAAUACCACACAUGUGAUUUCGUAUUUUUUUAUUUCAAUACCUUGUGGUUUAAAGUGCAUCAAUUUAGUUAAAACUAAAAUAUACUAAAUUAAAUAUUUGAUAAACCUAGAUAGAGUAUCUAUAGUUUUUUGUAUAUAAUUUAACGAAAUGUUAUGUUAAUGAAGGAGCUGACAAAAAAAAAAAAGAAAAAAAAACCACAAGGUACUAAAUUGAUACACUUUAAACCACAUAGUAUUAAAGUGAGAAAGUGCGAAAUCACCGGGGUGGUAUUUGAAGUUUACCUUUUAUUUUUAUUUUUGAGGUAGGACACAAGCUCAACUUGAUGAGCAAAUCUUAACAAUAAUUCAUGUAAUUUAGUGAUUGAAUAUCACCCUUGGCCUCAUAAAUAUCAUUGUUUCAUGUAAGAUUCAUUUGUAAUUGCGCAAAGAGAAACAAAAAACAUAGUAAUUAAAACACACCACGCCGUCAAUCGAAUAGUAGUACAAGUGUGAAAAGUUUUACAUCUCUUGAAACAUGAUGUUGUACAUGUAAUAAAUGAAGCAAGAAGAAUGUAAUUUUACAGCAAUCAAAGUUCAUCCUCACCAUCUUUUCUUAUUGUACACACUCUCUCUCAUCUUUGGAGGCAUGAAGGGUUUCUGAUACCUCCAAAUUGCUAUAGAAGGAAUUGGCUUCUUACAUUCUUCUUCAUCAAUGUGCUUCAUUCAUUACUUGCUCCAUUGUAGCCAAAGAGUAGCCAAAAAUAUUGGUAUCCAUGAUGUAAUGAGUUUAGGAAUAAUGAGUUCGUUCCCAUUGUUCGGUGCAAUCGUCAUGUUUCCGGCAUGAGCCGCAGCAAGUGAACCUGCUAAUUAUGUUAACAAAGAGAAGUUAUUCGGGAAGCUGAGCUGAACCUGCAGUUAUUGCACUAGUUUGGAAACUAGGAGUGUGCUUGAGCAAACCCUAGCCUGCGUAACCAGUUCGGUCGAACCGGUAUACGGGUGUAAUUGGUUCGGCUUAAUCAUAUGGAUCAAUUUAUUGGUUACGGGAUAAAGAGCCCAAGUAGUUAAAAAUAGAAGCAUCAACACUAACUUGGUUCGGUUGGUAGAGAUGACCAAAGCGAACCAAUACCAAAAAUCGAAAUUCCACAAAUAUAUAUCCAUAUGGAACCGGAACGAAAACCAAUUUAACAGAACCAACUACAUUUAUUUGGUUUGAUUCAGUUUGGUUUUCAGAAUAGGACUAUUAGAUCCCACUAGUACGUAUGUCAAUUGUGGGCCGAUACCUACAAGUUCAUCUAACUUCGAAUCUAAAUGGCACGUGUUUAUCUGAUAUAGGAAAAGGAAAAACUGACGGGUUCGAAUUUGGAUAUGAAUUUUGUCGGUAUCAGACCGAACCCAAAUAUAAUUUAUAUUAUAUUAAUAUAUAUGAUUACUUGAUGUGAUGUUUGAAUUUAUAUUUUGAAAAAUUAGAUUUCACAUAAUAUAUUGUGAAAUUUGGUAAAAAAAUAAUUAUUUCAGGUUUGAAUUUUCAGGUUCAGAUUCAAGUUUUUGGAAUUUUGGUCGGGUUCAAUUUUGGAUAUAGAUUUUUAAAACCCGCCAAGCUCAGAUUCCGGUUCAGAUUUCAUGUUUGAUAUCGGAUUUGAGCUCGAGUUUUUGAAAACUCAAACCGAAUCCAACUAGUUAACAUCCCUACCCGCUAGAGAGGCAAGGAUAAAAAUGAGAUUUCAAUCUAAAAUUCUACGUAAUCUUAUGUUUGCUCCUUCUCUCUCGUCUUAUCUGAUUCAAUCUAAUUCUAUUACAUUCCAAACAAGUUUCUAAAUUCUAAAUUUCAACAAGAGAAUUGAAAACUCACCUCCACUGCCGCCAUCCGAUUGAGAGCCACCACUGCUGUUAUUCCCACUACCAACACCACAUGACAUUUGAAAUAUGGCCAUAACUCCUUGCAUGAGCCCUGGGUUGUACCCUUGAAAAUUGGCCAUAAUCCCGUUUACGCAGUUCAUGAUCAGCAUCAUUUGCCCAAAGCAUGGCCCAUUGCAUAAUCCCGCGGUCGCAUUAGAUGUCGAAGUAGACGCCGUAAUGUUUUUCUUGAAAGGGAUUAGCCCAGUGGGAGCAGGAGGAGCACCAGUAGUGUGGUUACUAGUAUUGGCAUUAGUUGCAUUUGCAGUUCCAUUCAAGUUUAUUCCCAUUGAUUGGAGGCACCCAUUGAUCACCUACAAGUUUUAUGCAAGUGUAAAGUAAAGAGGUGUGCUAUUCUCGCCGACUCGGUGAGCCAAAUCGGCGAGGACCGCCGCCCCUUCAUCAGACGGUAUUUACUGAUUCCACGAGCCAAAUCGCUGAAUCGACAAAUUUAAUUCUUUUCCUAAAGUUAAAAAAAAAAAAAAGAAACAGUUUUUCUAUUCUUACAAAUAGUAGUUGAGUGUUUGGCGAAGCAGAAGAUGCGAUUCAAACUUUUGCUUUUCUUAUUUGAAAGGAUUUUAAUGAAGAAAAAUAUUUGCGAAUUAUAUUUUUUUUGAAUAGUUCUAUUCAAACAGCACUUACUAUUACAGUUUUUAAUGAUUAUCGUAUAAAAGUAAAGAUGUUCUUACUGUACGAUUGUCAAAGCAAAGAGCUGCGCUGGCUACAAUCUGAACUGCAUCUUGUGCUGCAUCAUAAAAUGAAGAGAGAGAUUUAGAUAAAACUUUUUGUUAUCUCAAACACCAACAAAAAGAAAAAAUGAUAAGAAAUAAGAUAAGAAAGAGAAGAAAGAUAUGGGGAAGAGUGACUUAAUUUACAAGAGGAGAGGAAGUUAAAUUACCUCUACAACGGGAACAAGCAAUGCAAAGUAGAGCAGCUGCAAAGAAUAAAUGCUUUAGAGUGAGAGAAGCCAUAUGAAAAAAAAAAAAAUUGAAGAAGGAAUAGCUUCUUCAACAAGAGCAAAAAUGAGCACUAUUUCACCUCCAUCUUAGGUUGUAUGUAUAUAUAUAUAAGCAACCCUAUUACAUGCACUAUUAACAUAGGAAGGGAACUAUUAUCCAACCUACACACACUUGCCCAUGAUUCUUAAUUUGCACCAAGAAACCUAGCUAUCGCUUUCAAGCAGAUAAAACUAUGACUAUUUCUAGGUCAUUUCUCAUUUCUCAUUAUUUUUUCUUGCAUGGUAUCAAAGUCGGUCCUCAUUAAAUCUUUUAAUUAUGUAGGGAUCAUAGUUUCAAAUUUUUCGUAAGUCGUAAUAAUUAUGCUUGUUUGGUCCUACUUAUACUUCUACGUUCAGUAGCAACAAUAUUAUUGGUUUUUAUAUAAAAAAUAUGGAAGUUCAGAACUUCUGCUGUUGUGAGAAAGAGAAAUGAGAUUGUAAUAUCUAAAAGCAAAAGCUCCAAAUUAGCUUCUUUUUAUCUGCUGCAAAGAAAAAAAAAAUUAAAGAGAAAGAUCUCAAUUUAAUGAUAUAUAUAUAUUUAUAUAUAUUAAUGAACUUAGCUGAAAAUGUGAAGUACCUAGAAUAUAAACUUGAGACUUUAGAUAUUUACCCUCAAGUCUUUUGCCACUUAUGCUAAAAGACAGUUGCUAUAGAGAAGAACUAUUGGAAGGAAUUAAAUAUGGUAUUUCUUUUGAUAAUAUAUUCAAUAAUACUUCAUCAAAUAGCAAUUCACCCUACAUAGAUCCUUGGUAGCUAGGUUAAAAGUCCUAUUCAACAUUGCUUGUGUAUAGGAACUAUUUUGUAUAAUGUCAACCAUUUGUGUUAAAAGAAAAAGAAAAAAAAAAAAAAAACCAUGCAUUAAUUGGUUGCUGUUACUAUGGUUUCACCAACAGUAAUUAGCCACAUAAUUUAUCAUUUAAUUUGGCAUUAACACCUGAGAUUUACCAAUUUUUGGUAGUAAUAUAUGAGCUCAUAAGGAGGUGGGUGGAGUGUUUCCACUAAUUCCACAUUGGCGAACCUAAAGUUAGUUUUUGGUAGUUUUUAUUGAAGGGGGAGGAUGCAGAGUUUGGUGCACAACGAUCAACAAACUUUCACUUGUCUCAAAGACUUUGUUUCUUCACAAGUACCCAAUAAUCAAACCUACACAAGGCUUCAUAACUCCCACUUUAGGAAUUUGUCUCAUCAUUUAAUGUUUUGCAUAUUUUUUAUUGGUGGAUUGAUAGUGACCUUUCUCAUUAACUGAUGCCUAAUAUGGUAGAUGGUGCGUAUUUACCUAGCUUAGAAAAUUUUAGAAAUUGAUUGUUUGAUUGACUAAACUUUCAAAAACUUUUGUUACAACAGAAACUGAAAUAAACUUUUGAUUCUCAAAACAUCUUAAGUUUUAUUUUAAAGUUUCUGUUUCGAAUUUUGGUGUAGUAUCCGACGAUUGAUUAGAUUUCAAUGGAAAAGAACCGAGUACUUUUUCACACAAUAUUUUUUUAUUAAAAAAAAAACAACUUUAUCUGGCCUUCUAGGGCCUUUGUAGAUCAUAACUUUCUCUGGAAGGCCCUAGAAGGCCACUAUAAUGGGCUCAGCUAUAAUGGGCUGGUAUUGGAUUUUUCUUGGGCUUAUUUCGAGCCUAUGCAGUAUAUUGGGCCCGGCCAUUAAACGGCCCAAGAAUAAACUGCUUCUAGACAUUUGUGUACUAACAUAUGUUCCUUAACAAAUAAAAAUUGUUUUAAAAUAAUUUAGUUCAACUAGUACUUUUUAAUGUACGAACCAUAGAGAACCUUAGGUCCAUUUUUAAUAUCACUAUUAGUUGGUUCUUUUUAUAUUUUUUUUUUUAAGUUGCUUGCGCUAGAGAUUACGUGUUCUAUUGAAUUGUACAAGGAAAGAAUUAAGAGUAAUUUCUUAUUCAAAUGGUUGUAUAUAAAAAAAAAAAGUGUGUGUAGUAGUCAAAGUGUUCAACGACCUUCCGUUGACUACCAUGUCAUGUAAAAUAAUUUUUUUAGAGCACGUUAAUGUCGAACUUUUGAUUAUCGCAAUAAUAAGUACGCUUAAUAAUUGAUAAUUGUGAUAGAAAUAGGGAUUUUACUGCAUAACGGAAAUAAUACUUUGUUUGAAAAUAUUUUUGGUGACAAAAUUGAGAAUAAUAGGUCUUAUUACAACAGAAGAAUACUAUACUACUUAAGGAGCUUACUUAGUAUUGCUUAUUCAAAUAUAUACACAAGUAAAACAACAAAAAAAGAUCCUAAUUUUGGUUUACAACAAUUUUGAAAACUCUAUAAAUUAAUUCGAGUGUUCGACAUUGUUUUUGAGAAGGAAACUCUUGUGCGAACUCAGAUAAAUAGAAUUAAGCAUCUAAAUAUCUAGAAGUAGGAUUUGAAUUUGAAACUUCAAUUUCUUGAAAAAUUUAUUGAUGCAUCCAAUUAAUGAUGAAUUAAUAUAAAAAUAUCUACUGAUGAAUUAAUAAGCCUUUACUAUUUUAGGGGGCCAAAAAUACACUUAGUUACAACAAAAUAUUUUAAUUUAUUGGGCUAUUCUGGUCAGUUAGGUCACUAAUGACAGGCUUAUGAGUUAACCAAAUAGCAAUAGAAAAUAAUUAAUUUGUAGGACACAUCGAAAUUAAUAAAAAGAAUGAAUUGGUUUAGUUUGCGUGCACUUCAUGAUAUCAUAAUGUUGGAGUACAUGCAUACAUAUAUAACUAGGCAAUCCCAUGAAAACCAUGGCCUCUUCAUCUCUCUCUCUCUCUCUCUUUCUCUCUCUCUCUCUCUCUCUCUCUCUCUGUGAAGUGUUGAAGUGAGAAGCCCUUGUCAAAAUGGCUUCGUCUCUUUCUCUGAAAAUUUGGUGCUUCUACAUAUAUGUAGCUCUAAUUUGCUUGUCCACUUCUCGGUCCAAUGCAGGUUUUUGCAACUUCUCUUAAUUAUUUCUUGCUAUUGCUUUUUCUGAAAUAUGAUUAGUUUACUACACGCGCCAAACAAGAUGUACAUAAUCUGUAGUUACUCGUUUUUAUUGAUUAUACUAUCCAUUAAUCCCAAGAUGAGAGUAUUACUAUAAAAUCUUCAUCAUAUUUGUCGACGUCAAUUAAUACUCAUUACAUGAAUAAUAUGAACUUAUGCAGAUCAAGUGGCUGGAGAAGCGGGAAAAGAAAUGCUGUGCUUCGACGACAACUACGUGAGUGCAUGAUCAUAGCACGUGAAUUCUCAAAUAAUUAUAUUACUUACGUUUAUAUUCUUAACUAAUCUAGCUACAUUGCACGCAUGGUAACAUAAUUGAGAAUUUUGCAUAAUCGAUCCCUCAUGCUUACUUUUCUACAUGCAUACAUGAUAGCAUAAUUGAAAAUUAUGCAUGCACGUCAUUGAAUGUAGAACAAUAAUUAAUGCCAUUGCCAUGUUUUGCACCCAUUACUUGUUCCUUUAUAUUGCACUUAAUUUUACUGUACAAAGCAAAAUGUAAAAUUUUGAGUUUGCUUUUCCUAUUGUAUAUACUAUCCCCUAGGGAUAAGAGAAAUCACACCCAUGCACAUAUAUAAUAUACCUUUGAAAAUUUAAUUUGAGCGAAUAUAACUGUUCAAAAAUGAAUUUGUCCUAGCUAACAUAUAUAAUUAUAGUUCUCUUCAUAUGCAUGUGUCUCUUCUACUGGCCAAAAGAUAUACAGCAGCUGCGAGGACCAGUACAGAUUGAAAGCAGAAGGGAUCAUCGGGGUCGCUCCGGAGGCGACCGACGAGUACUGCGAGGGGCCAUGCUUCGAGGAGACGAUGCGCGUGCUUCUAUGCAUCGACAACACGCUGCAUGGUGAGUUCAGGUUCGAGAACAGCGCAUCGGUGGAAGACGCACGGAAUGCUCUCCAAAGAGGGUGUAGCCACACUGAUAAAAGAGGUGCCUAUCAUUUUUCAACUUUAAUUUUUUGACUGUAAGACGCAGGAUGAUUUUUCUAGUUGUCGCCAUGAUACCGAGAAUAUAGAGGUUUGAUUUUCUCAAGUUUUGAAUAAGAUUGUUCUAUUUGCAACGCAAAAGUAUCAUGCGUUUGAAUCAUGAAAAGAUUGUUUAAUUCUGUUAAGGAGACUUCGACGACGUUACGGAGCGCCCGGAAGGCCAUCAUGACAAUGAACACGGCGACGAACAUGGGGACGGAGUACACGGGGACGAAGAGCACCACCAUGAAGAGGGAGACUUCUAUGACCAUCCCGGUGAAUUCGGAUACUUCGAUCACGGCAGUAAGCUGGACAUCUCCACCGUCCGUUUGAUGAUGAUGAUGAUGUUCGUGAUCAGUGGGGCUCUGCUUCUAUUGAGUUAGCGAGCACUUGUACAGUUGUAGUACAACUCUUGUUCACUAUUAAAUGAGAAGUGGAGGUUGUUAGAUUGUAAACAUGAAUUUUGAACCCACUACCCCUUUGAUUGGAUGCAGUAUAUCCCAAGGUGAUAUCGUUCGUAUGCAUGUUCCACAAUUUCCUUCAAGAAUUAAUAGAAAUGAGCUGUGACUUGAUAAGAGUAGUUUUACUCUCAAUUUCUUUUUCCUUUUUUUUUUUUUCAAAAACAAAAUUGUGUUGGUAAGAGCAUUUUUGGCCGCACCUCUGCUUUUCCACGGUACCAGUACAAACCCCUCCAACCAGGCCAAAACAAGCCGCUGAUGAAGCUCCAAAGUUCAUUACGCUCAGAAGAUCAAAAAUUACUUUGGUCAUUUAGCUCUUCAUUGGCAACUCGCCUCAUCCCAUCACAUGGAUUGGUUGCCACAACGCAGAAGGAGAAUCAUUGAUUUAUAGCACCUCCUAAUUAAUCUUAUAUAUAUAUUUAAUUUGGAGCCUAAUUGUUUGAUGCAUCUCCCGUAAUUGAACCGACUAAAAUCGCCUUCAUUAUCUUUCAGGCUUAAAUGUCAGCAGUGUGACAUAAACAUCCCACCCCAGUAAUUGACCCGGCUAAAAUUGCCUUCAUUAUCUUCCAGAUCUAAAUGUCACCGCUACGACAUAAACAUCCCACCCAAGAAUAAUACUUUUGUCCCGGUUUACCCAAAGACCCACAGAAAUUAAAAAGAAGAAUUAUUUAGUACAAGUUACGGUAACCCAAUACAACAAUUUAACCAACGUUAAUUGUGUUGUUUACGUAUCCUGCACCAACUGGGUGGGUAAGAGAAACGAGAAGAACAAGAAUCUGCCUCCCGCAUCUCCCCUACGUUCUUCAAUUCCCGCAAGAGAAAUAACUUGGUUCGUCUCUAAUUUGUUGCGCAGCCAAUGCGUCGGUAUCCUCGCACUGGAAUAGCGGCAAAUCAGAUUUCACUAGAAAGGAAACAAAAUUACUCCCGUAAAAGGAAGAAAUUUACUCUAAGCAGAUAUCAUCUUCAAAUUCCAAAUACUCGCACCUUAUUCCUUCUAACAAAUGGUCACCACCAUCUCAUCAGCUCGCCCAUGCUAAAAAUUUCCAGCUCGGAAAUUUACUCCCACUAAAAAUGUAUUUGUGCUUCAUCAUGGACAUACAGUACAAGCGACAUUUUACACUACAAAAUAAAAGGCACAUCGCAAGUUAUCCUUGUAGGCUAGCAAUAAGUGUUUUGCACUAAACGCCUAGCAAUGGUCUUAAAUACUAGCUUUUCAAGACCAGCUCAUUGUCAACCACCGAUCAACAUUAAAAUUCGACAUGCACAAAAGUUAUAAAUCAAUUCACUAGGAGAAAAUUUUAUUAUACUACACUGGAUAAAUUAAAAAGAGUGCUAGAGCAGUACACUGGAGAAGCACGACUCUAUAGAACUAUGAAUCAUCUUUCUAGGAUGUGGUAGAUCAGAUAUCGGCUAGCCCCACGAGCUUCUUGUAGAAUAUGCGGUUAUCUCUUGCAGAAUUGCUCUCAAAUAGAGCACUCUGUACCAUUUCCUAUUUAUAAAAAAACAUGGGAGUAGAGUGAAAAAAAGGAAGUAAAACCCAGUUUAGCAUGUUCAUUUGGUAUAUAAAAUAGUAUUACUACUAACCUUGACAUCCCUAUGGGAAAGGAAUUUUCCUAGAUUAUGAAUGAUGCACCUCAAAUCUUCUACCUGCAAUAAGUAAAUUCGGUAUUACUUAUUGAAAGAUAUGCCAUGAAAGAUUCCAAUAAAGUAAACGAUUAGAAUUACUUACUGUAAUGUAGCCCACUCUAUUUUGGUCGAAGUACCUAAAUGCCUAAGAUGAAUACCAGAGCCACAUCAAAGGUAAACAUAUCAGAAAAAUAAAGCAGAGAAAUAUAUAAUGAACAAAGUGCUUAAAUGCCUAGUUUCGGCUGGCUUUUGAAACUUCUCUACUCUAAGCACAUGCUUGGGUAAAAGACUAAGCUUUUGCUUUGACAGAUGCUGAAAUGAGUAGUUAGGCAACAAAAGCACAAGCUUUACUUUGUAGCUUCUGCUUACGCAGCAAGAAGCUGUUAGGGGAGUUCAAUGAGAAAAAGCAGACAACGCUUCUUCAAGGAACUCUACUCUGCAUGAAUAAAUUCCAGAAUAAAGAUUUAGAACAAAAAAAAAAUGGAGCAGACAGUUACCUGCAAUAGUUCCUUAUCAACAACAUCCUCCUUUGCCAUAUCUUUCUUCUCUGAUGCAGUUUGUUUAUCCCCUUUAGCAUCAGAUUUUUCAUCCAUCCGUGCUGCUUUUUGAGCACCAUCCCCUUUUGUACCAGAUUUUUCAUCACCCUUUGCAGUUUGAUCCAAGCUUUGCUCAUUCACAAUUUCUUUGAUUUUAUCAUUUUCGUCAGUCGCUUUUUCUUGCCCAGCCUCCACAUUAUUUGUUUUGUUUGCAUUUGCAUCCUGCAGAAUGGGAAAAAAAAAAUCAAAAUGUUCAGCACUUCAAGUUUCUAAUGCAAAAAUUCCUACUUAAAUAGUAGAACAAGAGUCCCUAAGAAGAAUUCUCUAGAAAAUAAUAGAAAACUGUUAAAACCAUGCAGCAUUAGAAAUUCCAAUAUUUUAGAAUAACACAAAACAGAAAGGAUAAAAUGCAGAAAAACCCGACCGAUUUAUCGUAACGUUAAACUUAACCUCUUGUAAAAUUGAGGGGAUUUUCUAAAGAUCUCUUAUCAAGGGGGUAUUGCGGAAAACAUAAUAGUCCAAAGGAGGAUUAUGCAUGUUAGCCUGAAAACAGAGAAUGGGAGAAAGAAUAAUUACAUCCUGAUCUGCAGCAUCAUUUGGGGCAGCGGCAGCAUCAUCCAUUUCCUGAUCCUCCUCAACAAUUUCCUCUGGAUCUUCUUCUUCCUCCUCUUCUUCAUAUUCUACAUCAUCAUCUUCAAUUUUGUUUUCUAUUUUGGGCUCAUCUGGGACAGUACCACUUGCAUCUAGAGCCAUAUUCUCUUCAUUAGCAUUUUGGUUUGAUGCAUCCUUCUUUUCGGAUUUUGUAGGGUCAUUUUCUGUUGGAGUCUCAUCAUUUGUCUUCACACGUUUUUCUGAGGCAUUUUCAUCACCUUUCUCAGAUUUUUCAUCUCUCUGUCUUUUACGUUGGUUUCUUCUAAUUACAUAUCUUCUCCGUAAUCUCUGAAAAUAUAAAUAUGAGAGCACCAAUCAAAGAUAAUAAAGAAUUUAACAGAAAGCAAGAUUUGAAAUGUACCUCGAGAAAAGCCAAGAGCCGACAUCCCAUUUGGUACUGAAGCAUUUCAUUAAACGUCUCAGCAAAUAGUGAAAGCUACAAAAGUUUAACAGAAUAAAUAAAUGUCCCCAAAUAUUACUACAACUACUACAAGAGCUAACAAAAUGAACAAAAAAUUUAUAAUCAGGUAAAGUUCUUUCUAUCUAGGGCUCUAAUUACAAUCUCAAUUAUUUUUUUUUAAAAAAAAUAAAAGGCGCAAACACUUUUUCAAUAUAAUUGCCUAUUAGGAGAAGCAAAAAAAAAAAGCAAACCUCAAAAGUUGACUCCUCAAUGUCUUUCUCAUUAUAAUCAAGGAGCCCAACAAGCGAAAGUGCCAUUGAGCGAAUCUGCAAAAUAAACUAGAAUCAGACAAAGAAUCAACUCAAGCAAGUCAAUUAAACAGUCCCAACUGUACAAAAAUAAGAAGCUAAAAGCUUCAAUGAAAUCAUACUUUAGAUCCCCUGCCCCGUUUCGUCCGCACGACAAAUCCUGGGUUCUUGGGGGGUCCUUCUACCUUCUCUUUUUCCUUAACAUCUUUCCUCAUUUUUUGCUUGGAGGACUCAUUCUUUGCAUCUUUGCUCUUACUCUCUUUCUCAUCCUUUCCAUCUUUGUUAUUUUCAUUCUUUGUAUCUUUGCUCUUACUCUCUUUCUCAUCCUUUGUAUUUUCCUUCUUCCCAUCUUUGUUAUCUUCCUUAGAAUCCUUUUUUCCAGAUUCAUGAUUGCUCUUAGUGCCUUCUUUAUUCGUAGUAGAUUUACUUUCAUUAGAAGGGCCUUCCUUCUUUCCUCCUUUUUCUUCUUUCAUUUUCUUAUCGCUAGAGGUUUCUUUCUCAACAGACGGGGACUUGAGUUCUUCUUUUAGACCAACUUGACUCAUUAUGCCUUCUUUGCUUGCUUCAUCACUUUUGUUAGGGGCAGAAACUUUUCUCUUAACCACCCUUCUAAUGAUUUUCUUCUUUCCAGGUGUCUUAACUCCAUCUUUUCUUGUUUCACCUUGGCCUUUGUUAUCUUGAGUAACUGAUUCUUUUUCAGGUUUCUCCUCAGUCUUAGUCUCAACAGUCUUAUCCUCUUUAUUUUCCCCUAUGGUAUUAGUAGUCUCUUCUCCGCUAACUGGAGUUGCUUUCUUGCGAAUUACCCUUCCUUUAACCACCUUCUUAAUGAUUUUCUUCUUUAUGGGCUUCUUACCCUUGACUGCUGGUACCACAGGGGCCUCAUUGGGAGUUGAAGUUUCAUUAUUUAUGCCUUCAGCAUCCACAGCUUCUGCAUCCUUCUUCUUGAUCUGUUUUUCAUUUAAAGCAGGAUUUUCUCCUUUAUUCUCAGUUACAUUUUUCUUAGCUCCAAUAUUGCCAUCUUUUUUCUGUUCGUUUGUUUUUUGAUCAACUUUAUCAACUUUGCUUGCAGCUUUGUUAGAUAUUUCAUUUUUAAUGGAAUCGUCUUUGGCAGCUUUUUUCUGACUUUGAUCCCCUGAAGAUAUGAACUAAAAAGUUUAACAACUAAAAGGGGAAGCAAGAUUAAAACCAAAGGUACAACAUGAACGGGAAAGUCUUAUAUUCAGGGAAUUACCUUGGACAGUUUCCUUCUUCUGAUCAGGUUUCUGAGAUGAAGGGAGAAGAGUAUUAGAAACAGAAGCUGCAAAGCAAGUUAAGGCUAAAAAUGUAGGAAAAGCACAUUUAACUUUCACUAUUUUCAGAUUGGCCACCUAGAAUUCUGAACUUUCAGUUUAACCCACUGAUCUACAAAGCAAAGUGAUAAAAACAUACUAAUGGUACACUUAAAGAAAGAGGCAGAGUGAAAAUAGCAAUAUCUAAAGGGGGGUGCCCGUAAUUUAAUCAUAAGAAAAUUCAGAAAUGAAUUAAAACAAACAAACUUUCUCAUUCUUCAAGGUAACUUUUCGUUCCCUCUCCUCCAUCUCCUUCUUGAAUGCAAGCCAUUGGCUUCUCCAUAGUUCAAUUGAGGGGAUGGAUUGCGACAGAUCAGGUAGAAAUAACACAGUGACUUCUCUAUGGCUGAAGAGUCCAUCCUUGCCAACUCGAUUAUAAUGUAUCUGCCAAAAUAGAAUUGAUUAACCAGGACAUAAUACCAGAAAAUAAUCGAUUAAUCAGGAUAUAAUACCAGUUAGACAAACUAAAAAUAAAACUCUCGUCCCUAAAUGCGAAUUCAUAAAUAUGCAGCUACAUUUUGAAAAUGAAAAAAAAAAAAAACUUCAUUUUAAGGUGGCUACAACAAAACAGUGAUUCUCUUCACAAGCAUGACAUACAGAAGGACAGCAAAUAACAUCACAAUCUUAUAUAACCAGACAAAGUAGAAUGAGAAAAAAAGCAGCUCGAGUUGCACUCUAAUGGAAAGGUAACAACAACUGCAAAAGACAAACAAAAUAACCUGAAUACACUCAUGAUGAAGCACUAUUACUGAGUUGGAAAGUCUAAAUCCCAAGUCAAAACUGAUGGGGGAAAAAAUUGUACUGAUAAAUUAAAGAAAUUAGCGUUCAAGCUUUUCAAGAAAAAAUUGAUUGUAACUAAGGUAGUCCAAAAUGCAUGAGACUUGGCUUAUCUUAUGAGUUACCAAAUCAUGCUUUCAAUACAUAUUAUGGUUAGUUCUUUAGAGGACAUGGGUUACAAAAGGAAACUCUCUCUUCUUUAUCAUGAUUUCAGAAGUAGUCAAUGAAGUAGAAGUUUACAGCAAUGAAGUCGUAGUUACCUCAACAACAUUUGACAACAAAAUUAUUGGAAGUGUGCGCAAGAAUUUAACUGAUGAAUCUCAUAUUAGAAGACGAGACAACUACGAGUACUAGUUCAGGAGUGAGCAUUAUCAUUUAAAUAUGUCGGGCCAGUGGUAACAGGUAAUUUGUAAAAAUGAUAAAGGUAAAACUCAUUUUCUUUAAUGAAAAGAUGCAGCAAAAUAUACCUCAAGGAAGCGAUUCCAAUGCUGGCAGCUGUGUAGAUCAAGCUGCGUCAGAUCCUUGACGUAUCUGUGCAAGAACAUAACUAAUUAUAAGUUCUGAAAAGAAACUAUUCUUUACAAAAGCACAAUUGAUGCAACACAUGAAAUUAUACUAUAUAUACAACACACACCUAGAAGCUGUUUGAAUCAAGCAAGAACUGUCAAUCAAGGGGUUACCGCCAUCAAUCGCAGCAUUCCAUGGCCCUCCAAUUGCCAUAAAAGAGUGAUCUUUCUUGAGAACAGCAAACUUGAGAACAUUGUUGAAGUGGAUGAUGCGUCCCUCCGUGCUCUUGUCGGAGCAUAUGUCUUCCAAUGCUUCACUGCUAAUGCCACUCAUCAAGAUUACCUGCUAGGAGAAGCUUGUAUUACAUGCUGCAUAGUUUCUGGUAAAAAUGAAUGAAGACACCCUCAGCUAUAAGCCUAUAAUAAGCCAUUUUGAAAUAGAUCCAAAAGUUUUAAUUAAUUGACACCCUUAAACUUCCUGCCCAUUUUUAAUCAAAUUAUAUGUCUUGGUUAUAUUGGAAGUUCCAUUGGCAGUGUUUUUGUUACUUGCUUAAUUGCAACAGCUCUUGUUGCCUCUCAGCUGAUGGGAUUGCAGGUUCUGUUUAGCAGUCAAUAGCUGAUAGCUAUCAGAGAAACUAAUGUUAACAGUAUACACAUCGAACUAGGGUGCGACAAUCAGAAAAAACAGCGUUAGGAAGUCUUUCAAAAUGGCCUAUAAUUGAGAGGGGCUCCAUACUAUUUUACCUAGUUUUCUUCCAUAACAGAUGAACAAAAAAAUAGAGCUAUUCAUAUUUUAUUGUUGUAACAUAUGAAAAAAGGGAUGAUCAAUUUAAGCAACUGAUCUUUUCCGGAUGAAUUAAAUUUAUAAUGGAAUAAAAUACCUACACUAAAUAAUUUACUUAAAUUCUAUACCUUGGCAUUCCAAACAGUAUCGCCGCCAUUGGGCGUUGCAGAUUUACUAGAGGAAACUAAUCCGUUUUCAUCGGCUUUCUCAUCUACUUCAACAAUGUCAUGCUCAAAACUGCUCCAGUCAAGAAAAUGCAAAACAGAAAAGUAGUAAUUUGUAAGGUUUGCUACAAGCCAUAGGUAGUAAACACCGAAUUGCAUUAGGAAACAUCAUACAACCAAAAAACAGGAAAAAAGAGAUCCCCAAAUAAUAUAUAUAUAUGUGUGUGUGUGUGUGUGUGUGUGUGUGUGUGUGUGUGUACCUCACAGGAGUAUGCAGUGAAAUAUAUAAGCUUUCCUUUGGCCAGUUCAAGACAACCUAGAAAUGAAUAAAUUUCAUAGUGAAAGAAAUGCUGAAGGUUAGUGAUUCAAAUGAUUAUUGAGAAAAUGACUUGUCAACAAUAAAAAUGGAGCCUUAUAUUACUACAGACGAAAGAUUUAAUCAUUUUGCAGUUCUUAUGAACUGAUCUUCUUGGCAUGACGAUUUGAUUAGGAUAUAAAGGACAAAAGCUAACAGAAUAAGAAACUAUCCUCACUUUUAUUGAAGUACUGACAUCUAAUCUUCCAAUAUACAUGACUUCCAAAGAACAAACAAACCAACCUUGGAAAAGUCCGGAGCUAUUGCUAGCCUGGGAUAUCGCUUGCUCAAAGAUAAGUAAUCUCUUUCAACAUCCACCAAGCAAAACGGGAAGACCUGUCAAGACCACUAUAAUUAAUACAUAUUUCAAGAAAAUACCUUGGUUAGCUAAUUCCUAAUAAAUAAGACCACCUAAUUCGUUGUAGCAACCAAUUGCAUACAGGUUACUCAUGUAAAGUUAACACAAACAAAUGAAAAGGCUAACAAAAAUGAUAAGAUAAUGUAGCACACAUCACGUAAAAAACCCUAAGGGUAGCAUCAUCUUAGGAAAGCUUAAAAGCUAGGGAGAUGAAAUCAAAUUUUCAAUAAGGGGAAAAAAGGAUAAAAAAGCUUAAUACGUGGGCACAACUGUCCAACUAUGGGAGUAAAUGUAUAUUACGGAAGCACCAUUAGGAAAGCCAAAGCGAGCUAGAAAUAAAAAGGAUGACAAACAAGAGACGUCCCUCUUUGAACACAAAUGUUCAACAAGAAAUAAUAGCCCAAGGUCAUAUACGGAGAACUUCAAAAAAGAGUGGAAGCAAAAAGGGAUUCAAGGACAUGAAUAGAAUACGAGGAAUCCAAGAAGAUGCCUGCAGCACCAAAUUUGUGAUUGACCAAGCCUAGGCUAAUACUAUCCGCGAAGACUCAUGAUAAUUUUACCUUGCAAACAUAAUCUCUCUUUUUCUCCUUAACAGGGGAACGAUGCCUUCACGAGAAUUAAAAAGUAAAACAGUUAGUUCAGAAAGCUGCACCAGUAGAUGAAGCAGCAACCUACUUGAAUCCACAGCUGAGAAAAAGAAAGAAAUCGUGAAGGGCAACCUAUGCACAGCAACAUCUCGAUGUGGCGAAACUCGACGCAAAGGUUUCUCAUCCCUUACAGAAGAAGAACCCCUACGAUCCCUAGAUGCUCUAGGUGGUGGAGUUCGUUCUCUCUUCAGAUCUGCUCCAAGCUUCCGAUCCCGUUCUCUCUCCCUAUCCCGGCGUUCCCGUUCGCGUAGCCGUUCUCUUUCCCUUUCCCUUUCUCGUUCCCGUUCCCUUUCUCUUUCCCGUUCACGUUCUCUUUCACGGUCGCGCUCUCUUUCUCGUUCCCUUUCUCUUUCACGUUCCCGCUCUCUUAUCUCGAGCUCUCGUCGAUAGGCGCUUCUAUCAUCCUUUCUGUCAUCAACCAUUGAGAGUCCAACGCUGGAAUGCGGUGCACGCGACAGAACACUACUUUGGUAGUCACGCUCGAGCGAGGGGCCACGAAGACCCUUUCCGGUGACGUAAUCCCGACCGGGGGGCAAACCCACCCCAUGUGUGUAGAUGAGGUCAUCAGCGUUUCUCCUUGGAGCUCCCCCUAACAACGAAGCUGCGUGGGCUGCACCAUAUGGCGCGCUUCCGAGUAUAGAUGUGCUACGAGGAUCAGCAUCGUAUCUUCCUCCAUACGAUUGAUCAGAUCCGUUAUGAAUCGAAGCAGUCCGCACUGCAUAGUAGUCAGCUUGUCUGUCCAGAAAUGUAUGCAAUUCUUUAUUCAGUGGACAGGAGUUGUGGGCAAAAAGAUUUCCAUAUAACAAGCCUUGAGAAGUAUAAUAGAUAUAUAUAUCAGCACUGCAACAACACCGAUUGGGAACAUUUUGCAGCAGUACACAGCAUAAAUGAUGCUUUGGAGAUAACAAUUUUCAAAGGAGGACUAAAGACAUGGUCGUUCAAAUCAAUGGAAAAGAAUAAAAGGAAAAACAGUUAGAUAGCACUUUAGCAUUUCUGAAGAUGACUUACCUUAUAUCCGAACCAGACUGCAGGGAUUGAGCUUUUAGUAUUUGUUGUUGCCGCAGUAGUGAUGUCUAUAGAAAAGUGCAACAAAGAGGUCAUUAGGAUUUCACACCACUAAGACAACAAUAAACCAGAAGGGAAAGAAUUAAACUACCUGCUCUAAGUGAUCGUGGAUCUCAGGCUGUACCAAUUAUCAAACAAUGGCAUUACAGUAUUAGUUAUAUAUAGAAGGUACAAAAUAAAGGCAAUCAAAAGGUUACAUAUACUAGGUUCAUAGACGAACCUGAUGUUGGUGGCUUAGAGAAACUGGAUCAGGGUAUCUUCGAACUGAAUCACUCGCCAAGUCUCUCCCACUAUAACUACCCUGAGCUUCAGAAUAGUGCCGUCUGUCCAACGAGGCAUAAUCAGAACUUGCCACUAAAGAAUAUUGAUCUGCCUUCUGACUAUAUCCACGGUUACUGCUAACUCCACCAACCUGUACGAAAACAAAGCUACUUCGAUAACUCCUAGGGAUGCCCAUGAAAUUGUGGAACACAUAAACUUGUCACCAUAUUACUUAAAUUAUUCCCUUUUUCCCGAAGAUAAAAUAGUAAAAUUUAUAUUGGUUCUCAUUUCUAAUAAUAUAUUUCUCAUACAAUUCCAUACCUAAUCCACAUGUCUAAUGUACUUCUAAAAGCUACUCAAUUUCAGCAUACAUCCAGGUGAGUUCUGAUAUCGGGCAUCUCGAGCCCUAAAGGUCUCAUCUUCAUUUUUUUUUUUUUUUUGGAAAUUACAAAACUAAAUCAUUAAACAUCAUGUGAGAGCAAAUAAGCGCAAAUAAAGAAUCAGGAAAGGGUUCGAACUUGUGCUGGGAUAAAGUAUGAGUAGUUGCUUGCGAUUUUAUUUUAUUCGAAUCAUACUACAAACCAAACGUAGGAAAACAAAAUAUGUUGAUUAACUAUGUUGAUUGUCCACAAAAUAAAUGCACUAAAUUACUCUAUAGAAAUAUGGAAUGAAUUUAACCGAAGUUGGUGAAAACACGGUUAGAUGGUCGCAGUAACACCUACAGUUAAAUACGACAAAAAAUGGUACAGGUAAAUCCUAAAACUGCAAACUUCCAAAUAAAAACAUCGAGAAAAAAGACCUGCUGAGCACUGCUCAAGGAAGACGAUCCAUAAACGGAGGCAUAAGGCCCUCCAUACUGUGAUGCUUGCGAACUAUGGCUUCUAUAUCCGCCAAUAUCUGCUUCUUGAGCGGCACUAAGACCUACCUGCCGAGCAUCGGGGCCGCCAACCCCAUAAACGCUACCAGGCUGUGUACAACAAUGAGAAAUCAAUGCCAAACAAACAUUAGAGGCUAAUCUUUAACCAAAAAGGGAGCAAAGAUUGAGAUCUUACGACCUGUCCAUACGCCUGUUGCGCUGAAUAUGGUUGUUGGCUGUAAGGGUUCCCACCCUUCGACGGGUACAUAUCUUAUUUCUAACCACAAAAAAUAGCACAUUUCAUCAUCGUCGCGCACAGAAACAAUGUUCGGAUGAUUAUAAACGCAAGUAAGAAUAAUCCUGAUCGAAAUUUAGCAAAACCCUGCACAAACCUUUAAUUGUUCUAUAAUCAAUACAAAUAAUGAUGAAUCGCAACCCUAAUUGCGAGGAAAAAGAUUAGACAUACGAGAUCGCUCCGAAACCAAGUAAAGAUCUACUAGGUUGCACGAUCAUGAGAUUUGUACCUUCGCGGAGAUCGCAGCGUGAGGUGGAUCACGUCGAUCGCAAGAGAGAGGAAAGGAGAGGAAGCGGCGAUGAGGUAAUGGAUGAGGAGGGAGGUGAAGGAGACGAGGGUUUUGGUUAGGAGUCGAUCGAUGCGAAUUUUGAGGGUUUCCGGUGGGUUCCAGUGUGAUCGAAUCUGAGCGAGAUGGUAGCAUAUAUAGAAAGAAGUCGCACGAAUCGUAAGGCAGUGAUCGUCCGCUUGAUUGGCUUCUGACGUUACAUGUAGGCUCGGGUCAAAUUGGGUUCCAUCAAGAAGCCGUUGUUAGGUCCGAGUCCGACCCAAUUAUCGAGUUCGCAGGAACGAGCUAAGCCAUUUUAUCAAUUAAUAAUUAAUAAUUUAAUAUCUGACUAAGUUUUUUUUAAAAAUGGUAAUGCGGUACUUAUUUUACACAGUUAUAUAGUAUUAAAUUAGUAUACUGUGUUAUAUAGAAUAUAGAAUAGUAUUUGAGACACAAGGUUGAAAAUUUUGCACUCUUUGGAGGAGACAAAUUAAAUGAUUCAUGCGACAAUUGCAUUGAAGGAAGUAAAAUGCUGUUGUUUCUCAUCACAUUAUUCCCAUGAAUUCGUUGAAAAGUUAAAAACUAAUAAAGCAUGCUAUCUUCGCUGUAUUCAAAGGUUCCUUAGCACGAAAUCGGCUUUCUUAAAUAAAUGGCUACAUUUAAAAAAAAAAAAUAACACAAUUCAAUUCAAACUCGUAAUUUAUGUGAUGUAUCUUGCAUACACACAACUUAUUUUCUCAGAUAUUAAGCCUUUAAGUUUCUAAACCAUUUCCCGUAUCUUCUUCGUCCUCUCUCUCUCUCUCUCAUGUUCACACCAUUGUUCAUGGCCGCCGCACUCCUAUUAGGCGCGGUCGAUGUGGAGAAAGCGGCUCAUGUUCCGGCGAUGUUCGUGUUCGGAGACUCUUUAACUGAUCCGGGAAACAAUAACAAUCUGGUGACCCUCGCGAAAGCCAAUUAUUAUCCAAAUGGUAUUGAUUUCCCCUACGCAGCUACAGGAAGGUACUGCAAUGGUGGAACGAUGGCUGAUCAUUUAGGUAAUUAAUAAAAAUGAGAUAUGGCCCAUUUAAUCAGCAUAUAAACUAGAUUAGAGUUUAUCUAAUUAAUGUUCUUAACUUCGGAAAGUUUUGGGCUUUUAGUCCAGUUCCUUUUUUGCAAUUUCGUCAAAACCCAAGCCCACGACGAGCCCGAUACAAAAGGGUCCAAAAAUGGUUGCGACAGUUGGGCCGUUUAUUCAAAUUGGAGAGCUUACUUUAACAAAAUUGCAUUAAAAUCCCUCCAAUAACUUAAUUGUAAGAGAAGUAGAAUCUUUACUAAUGAAUGCGGAAACAAAAUCAAAAUCAAACAUGUAUUAAAUAUUAAGUUUAUCAAGACAAUGUUGUUUUUUUUUCUGCUUCAUAUUUCGAUUUCAAAUGCAGGUGCUCUUCUUGGGCUACCGCUAAUUCCUCCCUUCACUAACCCCGGCACAACUGGUUCUAACAUUCUAAAAGGAGUAAAUUUCGCAUCAGCUGCUUCUGGUAUCCUUAGUGACACUGGAUUGCUCUAUGUGAGUCCUUAACAUCCAUUUCUUCAAAACUUUGGACGCAUUUGUGCUUCUCUACGGAAAAUUUUGCAGAAGCACUAAUUGAAUAGAGUUAACGGACUAUGCAUUAACAUUUUUCUUUUGAGUAAAACUGAGUUUCUUGUCCUCAAUAAGAUCGCGACUAUUUGUUGUCACAGCAAGUGCUUUAGCUCUUUUGUUUGUACACCUUCUAUUGCUUCUUGAUGUAAACAAGCUGCUCUAGAAGCUUGCUAAAUAGGUACUUUAAUUGUAGCUCCAUAUAUCUUGCACCAUAUAUUUUUUUUCCAGCUAAGAUCCUCACUUUGGUUUGUUCUUAGGGGGACCUCUUUACUAUGGAUGAACAAGUGAGAAACUACAAAGAAACAGUGCAAAAUUUGAACCUACUGUUACAAAAUGGGACAGGAGAGUUUCUAAGGAGAUCUCUCUUUUUCAUUUGCAUAGGAGCUAAUGACUACAUCAAUAACUAUUUGCUUCCAUUCUCAGACAAGUCCAAAACGCAUACUCCAAGUGCUUAUGCUCAGCUACUUGUUCAAGAGUACACCAGGCAAAUCAUGGUACUUUGUUUUAAUAUUCAUUUAUCACAUAAGAAUUAUGAAGUUAAACAUCGAUCCAAUUAUAGAUAUUUUCUUGAAUGGGUUAUCAAAUUCUCUCGACAUUGAUUAGGAUUUGUAUGAGCUGGGAGCGAGGAGAUUUUUGAUCGGCGGAGUUCCUCCGAUCGGGUGCACUCCGAACCAAAUAGCAAAUUCGGGGAACGACAUAGGCUCGUGUGUUAAUUCUACAAAUUGGUUAGUCAUGCGGUUCAAUAACGAAGUUAAAAUGAUGGUUCGAGAGCUAAAUACAAACCUUCGAGGGUCACACUUCCUCUUUUGGGACACAUAUGACAUAUUCUUUCACAUCAUAAAAAAUUCCUCACAUUUUGGUAAUCCUCUCCUACACAACUUACUAAUCGAUUUGGAUGUGUUAUUUUUUGCUGCAAAUUCGAUUUCCUCCUUUCAUCACUCUCCCUUUUGAUUUAUUAUUGUUAUUAUUACAAAAUUGUAGGGUUUAAGUAUACAAACAAAGCAUGUUGUGGGGGAGGGCGAUCGAAGGGCCAAAUAAUAUGCUUGCCCAUUUUGCCUCUUCAGUGUCGGAACCGAUCGGAGUUUGUGUUUUGGGAUCCAUAUCAUCCUACCGAUGCUUUCAAUGCUAUCGCGGUCAAGUAUUCAUUCUCACAAAAAUUCCGAACCUCAUUCCCUUCGAAUACACAACAACUUAUUCAAACUUUAAAGGUAUAAAAGAGAAACCUAUGAAUAGUUAAUUAGGGCGAAAGCCAAAGUAACAGAGUAAAUCUAGGUCGAUGUUGCAGAUAUGUUCCAUCUAAGUUUAAUAUUGUUGUUUCUCCUUUUAUUUAUUGAGGCAUAUAUAUAUAUAUAUAUAUAUAUAUAUAUAUAUAUAUAUAGCGUACAUAAUCAAUAACAAUAAAUAAACAAAACCUACUCACACUCUAGUUGCAUGCUUGUAUCUCGAUUGGAAUUAAUUUAUCGGCAUGCAGUUGUUUUUACUGUUUAGAUGGGUGGGAGUUGUUGCAUCUACUUAAGCUUGGCGGUUUAAAAUAACAUGCAUGAUCGUAUUCAACGCUCAUAACGGAAAUCUUAUGUAAUUAUCUUAAAAAUUAUUGAUGUGUCAGCAUUGGCGUGUAAUACAUAUUAAUAAUUAGUUCAAGGUGUCGAGUACAUUACUUUUUCUUUGUUAAAUUAUAUGAAAUUAUUAUUAUUUUCUAAAAAUUUAAAGUGUGAAAGAAUGGUAUUUUCAGUAUUUAUAUUUAUCUGAAAAUAAACUUUUAAAUUAAAUAAAAAAAUAAAUAAUAUUAGGAGUUUAAUUGAACUCAAAUAUAGAAUCUCCUAAUACUGUAUUAAAUAAUAUGAAAUAAUUAUUACACUCUUGGAAUCUUUAAUGAUGAGAGAACUGAUGUUUUUUAAAUAAUUAUUUUCAACACUCUUUUAUUGGGUCACGUGCACACUGGCUUUUUUGUCACCUAUUCUCCAAAGUUCUUGUAGGCUAUCAUGUAGCAAGCUAUUCACUGCAGCUCUGGCAAAACUAAGGUACCUCUCCCCCUACCGAUUUUAUUGAUGCAUGCAUGCAUCAUCUUUUUACGAGCACCUUUAUUACCCUUUAACAUAAAUAAAUAAAUAAAUAAAUAUAUAUAUAUAUAUAUAUAAAAUUGAGCUUCUAUGCUUUUAAAAGUACCAAGUCAUUGGUGCUUGUAAGUUUUCGGCCCUUGGAUUAAAGGAUGUGCGGUUAGGAUGAUAUGGGCCCCCUAGGGUUGAGUGGGUGGUUGGUUUAAUAGUAUAAUCUAACAGGUAAAAAUAAUCAAAAACAGAGAUCUAACGGUAAAAAAUUUACAAGCACCAAGUACUUGGUACUUUUAAAAGUACCAUAGCCGGAUUCUAUAUAUAUAUAUAUAUAUAUAUAUAUAUAUAUAUAUAUAUAAUUGGAAACAAAGGAUUAAAAAAGCCACGGAGAAGUGAGAUGAACACAAAAUUCUUGUGUGUUAGGACUUAUUUUUCGUAUCUUGUGAGUUUGAUUGGUUUGUUGGAUUAUUAAUUGAGAAAAAUUGAACAAUUAUUAGGAGUUAGGGUUUGAAACUUGAUUAAUAUGGAUUAAUUAACUUUUUUAAAACAAUUCUAAAAAGUGGAAAUUUGUAAGUUUGCGCUUAUCAAAUAUUCAAUAUUUAGCUGCGGCAGAAAGAAUAAAAUGAAUUGUCGAGAAUUAUUUUCUGACCGAAGAAAUAGCAUAUUGGAAUCAUUCGGGCAAAAUCAAAAGUUGCAAAUGGGACACUUUGAUUUUAAGACUUAGAUUUGUAUACCGUUAUAGUAGAAGUUCCAAAAUUUACUGGCAAUUUUACUAGUAAUAACAAAAAAAAAAAGUAGAUCUAAGUAGUAGCAGGAGCAAAAGGACAUCACACAUCAAUAUAUUUCGAUAUAUAGUACAAAAAAAUGCAUUUUCAACUUCUAAACGCAUAUGUAGUGAUAUAAGUAGUAUAUCAUCAGUGUCUUUGUAAAUAAAAAGCUAUGCAAUCUACACACCGUUAAGCUAGAGGUAUACUUUACAUCACAUCCAUCUUAGCUACUAUUUUUUAUUUGUCGUAUCAAAAUUUUUAUAAAAAAAAACUAAAAAUCUAGUUGGUCUUUUAUAAAUCCUUGAAUGGAAGAAGGGUUGUAGAAUUUAGGAAAAAAUUGAUUGGUGAAAUAAAAUAAUAACCUAAUUUGGUACAUGUGAGAAAACACUUUCUUAAGAAAUACCUAAGAAAGGUUGGUGGCUUUGAUGUUUCAAAUCCAGAGGUGUCACAUGGUGUAUGUACUUAAUUGAGUGGUGUGCAUGCCUUAUAUAUAUUCCUGUAGAGAUGAUUCUCUUGAUUUUAGCUCCUCAAAAGGGACAACCUGGAUCACCUGGGGUGGUGAAUCAUGGCACUAGUGUUUUUUAUAAAGGAGAAGCACUUUGGGCUAUGUUGGACCCAACAUGGCUUAUUUCCUCAGGCCAAUGAUCAGGCCAUGGCAAAGUUGUAAUACAGUAGUAACUUGUGCACAAACAACAUAGCUUAUGAAGCCUAGCUACUUCAAUUAGUGAGCCAUACCACAUUAAUAUUACACAUAUUACCGGCCGUCCCUAAAACAAGUGGCAAAUGGCUCGAUGGUUGGUACCUGAGGCCCAACUUCAAAUCCUAGUUGAUUCACAUUUCUAGUUAAGUUUAUUUCUAAAUGAAGUAAACGAAGUGGAUAGCAUGCUACCUAUCUCUCAAAAAAAUAUUACACAUAUUUCAUAACAAAUUUUUCUGAGAGAAACGUAACAAGCGAAGUUAACCGCUUUAUUUAAAAAUAAACUCAGCAAAAAACGUGAAGCAACCACUUUUGAACUUGGAAUCUCAAAUGCCAAUUAUAAUGCUUUUAGCCAACGAGUAGGGUUACUAUACUUUUAUGAGUAUAGAGUCCUUUGUACUUCUAAGUUGUUCUUAAUGAUGGAGCUUCUAAAUCGACGAUCCAUUCCGUUAAAUAUAAGCUAGAGUAUUUGCAACUUUAAAACAAUAAAUUUCGUAAUUUUUUAAAAUUAUAAUAAUUAAAGUCCGUCAAAUAGGUAUAAAAUGAACAGUCAAAAUCGAACGACGUCCUAAAAAUGGAUGAUCGGAUCCUUCAAUUUAUGAUCGGAGUUAUUAAUCUUUAUCUAGAUAAUGAAUUUAAUUUUCUAUCAAAAAUUCAAUCUAUUUCAAUUCUUUUAUACCGUUAAAGUAGCAAGUAUCCCAUAUUAACCGUUAAAAAUUGCCAACUUUAUGACCUUUUGAUUGUAAGGUAAAUGAUGUCGAAAAAUUAUAAAAUUUGAUUUCUGAAAAUUUUAAAUACUUUAGAUAUUAUUUAACGGUAUGAAUCGUCAAUUCAAAAACUCUACCACCGAAAACGACUUAUGAGUACGAAAAUAUUCGUACUCUUAUACUCAUAAGAGUACAAUAACCGGACUCUUAGCCAACUAUGUUAAGUGCGGUUAUUUCAUAACAACUAGUAAAUAUAUAUGUAUACUCUCUUUAAUUUUUUGUAAUGGCUUUCUCUAUCACUUUAUUUGGUUACGCUGGAGAAAAUUGAUUAUUUUGCAAGACGGGUGGCGCGCGUGCCAUUAUAUAUUACCCGUCAUAGUUUAACUCAAAUUCAAACAACUUGUCUGGUUUAGCAAGAUUAGCUUCUGUGAAAAUAAUUUUUGUGCGUUUUUUUUUUUUUGAAAAAUCGUCAAUAACUUUUUAAUUCGAAUAUAUUUAUAGCUUCUUGUCGUAGUAGAAAUUAGUUUUGCGUGCCAAAAUCUCACCUUGAGCUUCUCACCGUAGAAAAACUCUUCAACUUUUUUUAAAAAUCGUUGCAAUAAAUGUCUAGCAAAACCUUAAAAUGGCUCUUCCAAACGAAGUGGGUAGCAUCUCUCAAUAAAAAAAAAGAAAAAUUGAAGCGGCCAGCAUGCUACUAAUCUCUCAAAAAAAAAAAAACAUGUACGCAAUAACGUAGACCUAAUGAGUAGUAAAUAUAACUAGCUAAUAGUGUAAAGAUAUGAAUAGUAUCGUUAACAAAGUUAUUUUUAUUAUGCACAAUUAAAUUAAAUUCAUUAAAAACACACGGGUCUAGUAUUAAGAGCCGUGUAAAGCUUCUGAAUUGAAAGAAUUUGGUAUCGAACCAUAUAAAAAUAUAUCUCUCUACUUGUUUUUAGCUAAACUGGUACAAUUAAUAUAAGUGAUAUAUGUUGCCAUUUUGGAAAGAGAAAAACAUUCAAAAUUUAUCUGAAUAAUACAUUAUUUUCACUGCAAUAAAAUUAAAUUAUAAGGAUAUAUUUUUGGAAUACUUUUAUGUAAGUGUCUCAUUUAUAUCAAAUAUUUUUUAAAAAAUUUACUAAGAUCUAAAUAUAAAAUGCAAUCCAAUCGACAAUAAAAAGUUUCUUUACUCAACCAACCCCACUCGACCCGAUAACAAAUAGAAUAGAAAAAAAAUAUUAUCAUCAUCUCCCCCUCUCUUCCUCCGUCAUCACAGCUGACGAGGUAGGAUUCCGACGGUUAGAGUUCGGCCACAAGAACCUCACAGGACCGUAGAGGGCUACGAUCGCGACGUAUCCCUCAGCCACAGAUCGCUACAGGAGGAGUCGGUGUCCAACAUCAAGACGGCCCUACAUAUAGUGACCCCAUAUAUAUAUAACAACACUUUUAACUUUUUUUUUAACAUGUACCGAUAUUUAAAUGUCGCUAUAAAUACACCGUUUUUGUUGUAGUGUUUCAAAAUUUUAAUUUUGUUAAUCAACUCUUUUUUAUACAUAUUAAAGUCAAAGUAUCGUUGAUUGGCUUAAAUCGAACAUGCUGAAAGAUUGGAUAGUAAAAUUAAAAAAUUUUAAAAAAAUAAAUAAUUAAAUUAAAAUAAUUCAUAAUUUAAAUAACUUUUUAUCUUUUACGUUUUAGAAAAUAAACAAAAUUACUUUCCAAUCGUUGCUCUUCCACCGGGAGAGUAUCAAAGCUAUGUCCUCGAUCACCAUCAGUAAAUAAAAGGUACAUCACCGACUGUCCCUAUAACAAGUGGCAAAGAAUUUGGUGGUUGGUAUCUAGGGUCCCAAGUUCGAAUCCUAAUUGAUUCAUAUUUUUAGCUAAAUUUAUUUUAAAAUAAAAUAAAAAACGAAACAGAUAGUGUGUGAAACAACCGUUGUACUCUAUAAACUUAAGCUUUUAGAGUACAACGGUUGUUUCACAUGGUAUCAGAUCCAGAGGUCACGGGUUCGAUUCCUGUAUGCUGUAAAUGUGUACAGGUGCUGGAGGGGGGAUUGUUGGCUUAAAUGGGCCAGCAUCCUGCCCUGUGGCGGAAGGCCAUGUGGGCCGAGUCAUGUUCGAAAUGGCGUGAGGCUGGGUUGGGCCGAGUCAUGUUCGAAGUGGCGUGAGGCCAGGUGAGCCGAGUUAUAAUCGAGACUUUUUAAUCGGCUCAUGACGUGGGCUUGAAUUAAAUAGAAGGAAAUUAAUAUACUAGGAGCCUGUCGUGACUCGAACUCAGUACUUCUUACUCUGAUACGAUGUGAAAUAACUGUUGUACUCUAAAAAGCUUAAACUUUUAGAGUACAUCUCUCUUCUGAUACAUCGCAUCUUAAAGUUAAUGGGUGGUUGGUGAAAAGCUGAUCUUGCGCAACGCGAAAAAGCGAAAACACGUGACUACCCGAUAGCCAUGUUACUGUACGAGGUUCGGCUUUUGCGGAAACCGACUCUACUGCUUCUUGGAAAAGCAGAAUAGGUGCGUGGUAGGGUAGGGCUUUAACUUGGCUUCUUGCAUGCGACCUGCUUGACGCGAGGCCUAGCUGUGUAUAUUAUUUUUUUCGAGAGAGAUACGUAGCACACGUUACUCGUUUCAUUAAUUUUAUUUAAAAAUAAAUUUAACUGAAAAUGUAAAUUAACUAGGAUUCGAAUUCGGGUCUCAAAUACCAACCACUAAACUCUUUGCCAUUUGCUCUAGAGACGGUCGGUAGCUGUGUAUAUUAUUGAGCUUAAUUAAUUAGCAUAUAUAUAAGUUGGCGGUGCAAUGGUGCAUGCCCAACGCGAUUAUUUUUCAUAACCACGUUGAAAAUGGUGACAUAAAUUAAAAAACAUUGGCCGUGAAUGCAUUGAACCACUUACGAUUCAUUUUUAAUUUAAGCUAUAUUGUUCUAUUCUCCAAACAUGAAGUACAAAAUCACGUUUACGGCAUGCGCGUUUUACUGUAAGGUAUUUGGAAACUCGUUUGAUCGCAAAUGACCGAUUAGUGCAUUGUGUCGCAUUAAACAUAUUCGGCCCAUUUUAUUCAUAUUCAUUAAUUCUCCCUGAAAGAGGAGAUAACUAUGAUUCUAAUAACCAUCAUCCUAAUAUAAUUCUCUAAAAUUUGGUGUUUUAAUUUUACUCUUAGUGCUUCACUGUAGCAACUUAGUCUGUAAAGCUUGAGUAUGUACAAUCUUAAUUAAUUUCAUAAUUGCGUUUUUUUAAAAUUUUAAUACCGAAAAUAGCCUUUCUUUUACUUCUUUUCUAAAUUAAGUUUGGCCUUGAAUUUAGUUUCAUUCUUAGAUACUUUGGGUCCCCUGAAAAAGUGUAAUAAUGAUGUUGAACUAACAUUUUGUAGAUUAAUUAAAGGGCUUAAUUUUUACAUGCAAUAACCUUCAUGCGGUAAACUAUUUAAAAUUGAAACUACGAUAAUAAAUUUAAGAUCUAAACCAAACUUUAGGGACCAAAUUUAUACCGUGGUGGCGCAAUAACCCCAAUAAUGGCUUUGUUCAGUUAAAAGGCGACGGUAAUCAGAAAAUGUUUGGACAAAAUACUGUAUAUCGAUAAAUUUGAUUUACAUCCAAUGAACAUUACUCGAUAGCUUUUUGAAUUUGUAUUCUAUAAUUUAGCGCAGAAUAACGAUCACUCAACACCGCUACAGCAAUUAACGAUCGGAAAGCUUGGGCGACCAAAAGGUCUCUUUGAUGUGAUUUCUCUUCAAGGCUAGGUGUUCGUGGAAACAUCAAUGAAUGAGAGUGGUGGGGGUCGUAAUGAGGUGGGGCAUGGAACAAAUUAAUUGUGAGAGGUGAUGGCAAUAAGAGACGCUCUCCAAUUUUUGAACCAAAGAAAUUCAGCACGAAUAUUGAGGCAGUACCCCCACCUUGUUGGCUUGUCGAUGAACCGCUCAAAAUACAAACUCCUCACCGCACUAUACUCUGUGGCUGCUUAUCUUUAUUCUAAAGUGGUGUGAUCUGGAAGAUAAACUUGUCACAAUGUUAGGCCUCCAUUUGCAGCUCGCCUAUAAAGUACAGUGUUGUUGGAUAAAGUACUGUAAUAUGCAAAGCACUACAUGUCGAAUGCGGUGUUAUCUUAAUUAAAUUGAAGUUACAAAGGCCUAUUUGGUCCGGUUUAAUCGAUCACUCUGUAUUGUCGGCCCCAACUAUAGAAGUGAGUAAUUUGACGGCGCGCUUUUAGCACAACUUGCAAGUAUAGACUUUAAUUGCUUUGAGUAGCUUCCCAGAGAAGCUUUUUGUCACUGCAGCACGAUGCGUGCCACACCAUGUAGGGUUGUAAAUUCAGGCCAAUGGCUCUAUAUUAUUUGACUGACUCUAUACAGAAAUAUUAUGUAGCAAUAAAAACUGUUUAACAAAUUCUUUCGUAGAAAUACUUUAAUUUUCUCUGAUGCGUAGCAAUCUAAAACAAAUUACCUGUCUUUUUUGUUACUUAGCAAAAUUUCUACGGGCGUGAAAAAUAGAAAGAAAAAUGGUUCUUUAACUUGCAUCCCAAAAUAUAUAUUGAAAUUUUUUAAUUUGGUUACACAAAUGACUAGUUUUUUUUUAAGAGAAAAAUAGCAAACUAUAUGUCUCGAGUACCAGCCACCAAGUUCUUUAUCAACUGUACUAUAUAUGAUUAGUCGCGUACCCCUAGUUGCUUUUAAAUUUUGAAUCAUUAUGAUCAAAUCAAUUCAAUCUCACAUCGACGACAACGAUGGAAAACGAAAAGAUCAUGGCCUUAGUCGUGGUGAUGAUUAUAUACACAACAUCAGCUUAUGCGCGCCGUGGGUGUGGCCACGAGCGUUGUAGGCUCAACUCACGAAUUGUCCACACAUCAUGAGUUUUGAACUAAUAAUUGGGGACCAUGCACUAUUAAUGGAGGAUUCUUAAGCACCUCUCUCUCUCUCUCUCUCUCUCCCUCUCUCUCUCUCUCUCUUUCUAUAUAGGUGACAAUUCAGUUUUGUGCCUCGGUUUACACGUUUUGUUUAAAAUUGUAUCACUUGAUUCCAAACUUAAAUAAACAUACAUGUAAUUCGCUUGUUAUUAUGCGUUUUCACUUUUGGAUUAAUUUUGCAUUGCACUCGUUUGUUAUUAUGCGAUUUCAUUUUCAGGUUAUGGAUUCACGUGGAUUCUAGCUAUUUUAAUUCCUUACGACAAUCUAAUAAUGGUGGUUGGAUUGUACCAUCAUACCGCAUAGUUGUUCUUCACGUUUUUAGAUUUAGGCAACUUCCAAAGUAUUAUUGAUACACUAACAGUGUUUUGUAGUACGUGAGAAAGUAAUCUUAUUAUAUUAUCAUCUAUACUUUUGAAGACACCCGUAAUGUCGUUUUUAGGAAAAUGUGAAAAGUUAGUAAUAUUCUGAACAUCAAUAUUUAGUUAUGUACUCACAGGAAUAAGCUAUAUAUGGAUCUCUACCUCUAACUAUAAAAACUUGAAGAGGAGAGGAAAUAUGAAAGGUACCAUGCAUUUUAUAAAUGUGACAUCAUAUAUUUGGUAGAACUAUAUAUGGUGAUAAAUUAAAAAGAAGGCCUUAAUGGUCUGCAUGUCUCUACUUCUACAAUUACUCUAGUAGGUGCCCUUCGUACGUAUUCAAUCUCCUAACCAACAAUAAAAAAAUAAUAAUAAUAAUAAUUACCUAUAUAUUCCUCAAAAUUUUAAAAAUACCGCAUUUAUCUUUACUAUUUUGUUCUUUCCAAUAUAAUCCUCAUAUAUUCCUCCGUUAUUUCAAAAUAUCCCUACAGUUACUAUCCGUUAAGUUUAUUUGGGUUAAAAGUGAGUUAAAUAUCUACUAAAAUUUUAAAAAAUCAAAAUAGCUCUUUUGCUCUUAACUUAAGGACAAAUAAGAAAUUUUGGUAAUGGUGGAAGGGUAUAUUUGAAAGGGCAAAAUAGUAAUUUUAUAUAAAUAACAACUAUUGCAAACUGUUUAUUAACAGAAUUUAGUUUAACUCUAUAGAUAUAUUUGAAAUAGUUGGAACGUAAAAAAUGUAUUUUUAAUAUUAACCUUCUAAGAAAAUAACUCAGAAAGCCGAUAAUUUUUCAGGAAUAUAUAAGCAAUUGCCCAUAAUUAAAAAAAUGUCUAAAUUGGCACCAUGCCACAUUUUUAAUACACUAGGACAAAUAAUAAUAAUAAUAAUAAUAAUAAUGCUAGUAAUAGUAACAAAAACCUCGAUUCAAAUUCUCAAACUUUUUAAAUCACCUCAAUAUAUUACAUGUGGUAAGUGCUUGUUUAUUUCUAUUUUUUGCUUCCGGUGUGCUGAAUUAAGGGAGGGAAAACAAACUUAUUCUACUGAAACAAAAGGCAAAUAAUAUGAUUUUAAAUCUUAAGUUCACACUACAACAAAAACGGUCUAUAUCGAUACUUUUAAAUGUAGGUAUAUGUCAAAAAAGUGCUGCUAGCUAAAAUUACUGAUACUUUUAAAAAGUGUUGCUAUAUGUGGAGUCGCUAGGUAUAUAGUGACAGUUAAAGAGCGUCGCUAUAACCUAAAAGAGUGCUGCUAAUUUACCAACACUUGUUUAAGCAUUUAGCAACCGCCGAAACUCUAUCUCGUUGGCUGUGGUGGCGGAGGAGGACGACAGUAAAGACUCUUCGUCUAGAAUUUCAGUGGAUUGAGUGAAGAGAGAAGAAAAGAUGGUAAUUAAUUUUUCUUUUUUUUUUCUUUUCUGUUUGUAAUCGGGCCAAAUAGACUAGGUAUGGUGGGUUGAGUAGAGUAAUCUUUUAUUUUUGGUUGGAUUGGGCUUUAUAUUUAGCCAUUAGUAGAUGUGUUUUUAAGUUUUAGCAUAAAUGGGACACUUACUCAAAAGUGUCUCAAACAUGUGUCCCUAUAACCUAAUUCUGUUGUAGUGUCAGAUUUUGUCGGAUCAUUGGCGCUAAUCACUAAUUUCACAAGUUCGAGCUGCUAAAAAUAUAUAACUUAUUUACUUAAAACGUACAGAUACAACGUUCACGGAUCUCGAUUAUAACUCGAUCCAACCAACCUCUUACCACUUCGACCUGACCUCCUGUCAUUUCAAACGUGACCUGACUCAAUCUGACUUAUCGUGAAAAAACAAGAUGCUAUCCCUUUUAAGCUGACAGUGCUGCAAUUCAGAAAGAAACUGUUGAUAUAUAUUGAGCGCGACUAGCUCGUCAUCUUCGUACUCGUCUUCUAAUCAUCUAACUCAUUAGCAAAGAGAGUAAAUUUUGAAUCGAGAAAAUGCCACCAACGGGCCCUAAUUGGCAUGCAAAUUGUUGUAGAUUUAAAUUUGGGAAUACACCUUAAUUAUCUGGUGCACCAACGCUUCUGUCCUAAUAGAAAAGGAUAAAAAUAAUAAAUAUAAAAAAACAAGAGUGUAAGAUGAGGUGCACAGCAUCUUACGGCCUCGGUGCAAUGAUGACGUGGUGCACCAGGCCCAGCUAACAAUUGCCUCACACCGUGUUGUUCUGCACUGCGGCGGUUCAUGCAUCGUCAAAGGGGACCUGUACUUGGCGUGGUGCACGAGGUGGCAAAUUGGCACGUGUGAACCCGGCCAAGCACGUGAACGAGUGCAUAUUUAUUUAUUGUUUUAUAAAAAUAUAUAUUUAUUUUAAAUAUUAAAAUUAUUUAACAAAAUAACUAAACUUUAUUUUAUUAAUAAAUUGCGUACAAACUUUAACUUAAUUAAAAAAAAAGUUAAUUUUAUACAUAUCCUUAUAAAUAUAGUGAAUGACAAAUAUACUCUUAUAAGCUCAACUUUUAUAUAUUAUCAUUACAAAAAUUCUAGUAUUUUCAAAUAUAUCUCUCUGAUUUUUUAUCGUUAGAUAAUCGUUAAUAUUUUCAAUUUUACCAUCACAAAUAUGUUCCUUAAAAAAUUAUAACACUAUAAUAUUAGAAAAUAAAAAUAUCAAAAAUUAAUCAAAAUUAAAUAUUUAAUCUAUAAUUAACUAAAAUUUUAUAACGAAUUCUAACAAUAAGAAUGCAUUUAAAAAUAUUUAAAUUUUUAUAAAAAUAAUAUAUACAAAUUAAACUUUAUAAAACUAUAUUCGUUAUUCAAUAUAUCCAAACAGAGAUAUGUUAAAAAAAACCACCAUAUGAUGCGCACGUAACACGCGGGGACAACGUUUCCUUCCUGUACACUUGUGUACCUUCCGUGCUUCGCGGCUUCGAUUUUCGAGCCUCGUGGAGCCAAUUUGCUGUAGUCACUUUAAAAAAUUAUGUAUUUAAUUUCAAACAAAUAUUUAAUUUAAAUAUUUUGUAUUUUAAACGUGCUAUAAAAAGAUAUAUCUCGGCCUAUUAAUUUUUGCUUUAUGUGUUAUGUGUUAUUUUUAUUACAUUUAGCUGUGGAUAAUAAUAUGAAAAAUAACAAAGUUGCUAUUCCUAAAACGGAAAUUAGCUUCCUUUGCUUAAUUUCAAAUAAUUAUGUUUGCGAUACAGUAAAUAAAUCGAGUAACAUAUAUAAACACCAUUAAAUGUGAGAGUCAAAUAUUUGAUCAGCAAAAGUUUAAAGUGUUUUCAAAUUUUUUUUGGUUUGAACGGAGUUUGAAGACAUAUGUGCCAUCUAAAUGGAGUUUUAUUUUGAAUCUUUUCAUUAAAUUAGUAACAAAAUUAGACAUUUCAAAUUGAUUUUUUUUAAAAAAAAUUUUUUGGUUGGAUUGGAGCUCAACUCGGAUUUUCACUUUCAUCUUUAGAGUUUCAAUCGUAACCAUUUAGUUGCCCAAUUAUUUUAAUUUAUAGGGUAAAAAGCAUUAAAAAAAAAAAACUGAUGUAGUACUUCGUUCCCUAAACUUUUAUUUGAUUUCAAUUUGUCAAUCCUUAUAAGACACAAAAUUGGUAACUAGUCUAAAAAAUAUUUUAUUUAAGACAUUAAAAAAACUGGAUUAAAGCACUUUGUCGACCUUUCAAUCAUUGCUUUAGUCAGAUAAUCAAUAGAAGCUAAUAAAUCCCUGUUAAAAAUUCUCUCUAAUAAGGUGGAAUAUCAUUUAAAACCUCUUAUAGAGUAAUUGUAUAAUACAAUAUAUGGAGUAGGGCUACUGUGCUAUUAGGAGUACAAUAGUUUUUGUGCUUCUAACUUUUUAACCACCCAUCAAUUUUGAUGAGUGGUUAGGAUGAGAAAGAAAAGAAAAAUUUAAAAGAAACAGGGUGUCUUAACUUCUCUUCUUUUGGAAUUUCUCUCUAAUAUCUCUUUUCUCUCACAUCUUAACCACUUAUCAAAAUUGAUGGGCGAUUACAAAGUUAGGAACACAAGGAGCUGUACUUCUAAUAGCAUAGUAGCCCUGCUCUAAUAUAUGAUUGGUAAAUUUCAACUUCACAAAAAUAAGCAAAUUCAGAGAUUCAAAGAUUUGACGAUUUGAGCAUUUUUUUCUGUUAUAAUAAAUUUUCAUUUUUUUUUUCCAAAAUAUGUUUAUUAUUUAUAAAUUUUUUUAAAAAAAAUUCAAAUACUAUUUUGCAAAUACAAAUACUAUAUAAGGGGUCGUUUGGUUUGAUAUAAUUAUAAAUGCAGUGUAAUUGAAUAUGCAUACCGUUGGAAACAUAACAAUAACAACUACAUGCAUCAUGUUUGGUUGAAUUAAUAAAAAGCGCUACAACUAUAAAUAAUUUGUUUGGUUGCAUGCAGUUGAGAAAUAAUUUUUAAAAUUUUAUCAUUUUAUAUAUAUGAUGGUGAGAUUACCUCCAAUGUAAAAAAAAAAAAAAAAAAUUUAAAAAAUAUUUAAAGAGGUAAGGUUAUAUUUUGUUUAAAGUUACUCUCUCCUGCUGCUGCAGUUGGGAUUGCGGCCAAUUUGGGUAUAAUUCCAACUGCUGCAGUUGGACCUCCUCUUGUGGUUUUUACUGCGGCAGUUGAGUUAAGUAUAUUAAAUCAAAUACCAAAUUUAUAUUUUUAUACCGUUAUAAUUGCCGUACAAUUAAAACGAUAUACAACCAAACGCCCCUAAAUAAAAAUAGUGCAAUACAUUGUAUUUACAGUUAAACACUGACACGAAGUAAAAUGAGUGCACGUUCACAAAGUGUCGCCUGCUGUCACGUAUCGUCACUAUCGACCAUUAAUUAAUUGCAGGUACGUAGCACAUUACUAAAAUUAUAUAUUUUUUUCUAAACAAAGCAUCUCUUGUGAUAGUAAAUUAGUAAUAAAGUAUGAGGAGCGUGGAAAAUGCAAACAUGUGAAUUUCUCAAAAAAUAACAAAAAUUAAUAAGUGUCGUAUUUGCGUUCUCCGCAAAACCUCCGGUGUUAAAACAUUAAAAGAAAUUAAAAUUGACCUAAUUUUAUAUUUUAAAAUAGAGUUGAUCUUUUAUCGUGGAACAACAGAAUCAAUAUGUACAAUAAUAAGAAUCUCGUAAAUCAAGUAACAAUUUUUUCUAGCUUAUAAUCCCUUUCUUUUGUCUAAUAGUUAUGCUAGAAUUUUAAUCUCUCAAAUGAUUAUUACGGAUUUAGUUACGAAAUAAUCAUUAUAUAAAAAUAGUUGAUUAACUAUUUCUGUGUAGGCUCCUAUUCUUAGGUGCAUCUUAAUUUUGUUUUUUUUUCUCAUAACUAGGCCAUUAGAUCAGCUAAUUAAAUUUGCCAUGUUCUACGCAUAAUUAUUUUAUUAUUUUCACUGCUUUUUGGGACAUGGUAUUUGGAGAUUUAACGGGAUAACAAUAGGAAUCUACAAGCAAUCUAAAUAAUAAUUAAUAAUAAUAAUAAUAAAUAAUGAGAAAUAAUUAAUUAUCAGAAAAUAAAAAUUAUAUUAAUAAAAAUGGUGGACGAAGAAAUUAAAUUCAAAAUCAUUUAUAACAGAGAAGAUUUUGCGCAAACUUUAGUACUAUAUAAAUAGUGUGAAAAAGCUUUUUGAUUUUUCUACCUAUUAUUUUAAUUUAUUAUUUGAAUCAGUUAAUAACCUUUUACCUUAUUAUUUAUUUUUGUAGAUUUAGAUAAUAUAUGUUGUGUAAUUUACUAUAAAUUUACUAAAAUAUAUAAUUAAUUUAAAUUUUGCAUCUAAAGAGUUAUUAAAUUACUAAAAAAAUAAAAUAAAUUAAAUUAAUUAAAGUUCAAAUAAGUCGUAUCCAUUGUGAUUCAAAGGGCGGAUAGGGCUAAAAUGGUCAAUCCACCGGCUGCGCCAUCUCAUGCUCAUCUACUGACACGUGUCCUUUUCGUUCACCCUACGUUUCAUGCCCCGUCCACUCUCCACGUCGACUAUAUUUUAAUGUCAAGCGCACCUAUGUUUACUUUUGGACAAAAAUUUUUAGGGGCAUAGUUCCAAACUAAUUAGUUUCGGGACUAUACAGAUCGGCGCCACAUGACUGAUUAGACGAGUGUCUUUCUCAGUUUUUUUUUUUUUCUCUCUAAAAACACAGGGCUCACUUUUCUUUUUUCUUUUUUUUUCAUCCGUGGCUGUCCAAUGGGCCACAUGGCGCUGAUCCGUAUAGUUUCCAAACUAAUUAGUUUGGAAAAUUUGCCCAUAAAAUUUUUGUCCUUUACUUUUGUUGUUUACUUUAAUUUUAAUUUUUUCAUUAAUUAUAUUUUUAUUAUUUUAAAUCAUUUAAUUAUUUUGAUUUUUUAUAGUUUUUAAUUAUAAUGAAAUUGGUAGGUCAGCACGGAACCUUGCCUAGUGGCAAUUUUUUUCUUAUGAUAUAAAACUUUUUAUGAUAUAUUAAAAAUGAAUUAUUAUUGAACGUUUAAUCUCAACUCUCUGAAAACCAUUUUAAUUUGAAAUAAAAGAUAACAAAUUCUCAAUUUUUUUAUUCAUGCACUUUAGCUCCAUAUUUAGUGGCAUGAGCACGGAGCUAAAUAUGGAUUAGUAAAUAAUAGCAGCAUGUUAAUUAAUGCAUAGGAAGUAAAUAUUUUUAAAAUAAUUUAUGUAUGCCCUGACGCAAUAUAGGUUUGCCAAUAAAUAAACAACUUAUACGUUGACUGGGACACUGAAACCGAAAAUAUUUUUGGGCUUUAUUGGGAUGCAUGCCACUUGUAUUUUUUAUCUAAAUUAUCAAAUCCACUACUUAUAAGUUAUCAUAUGAUGAUAAUUUAAAAACAAAAAGGCAUGUGACCCUUAUUUAUGAGAAGGGCUAUUCAUGUAGUAAUUUACAAAGUAAGCUAGAAAGUUCCUACUUUGUAUUAUAUAAUUUUGUUUGUAUUUUAUCAUACAAAUUUGUAGUUAAAUGAAAUUAAAAAUUACCAUACUUUAUAAUGUAGGGAGUGAUAAAAUAUAGCUGUUUACUAGUUUGUAAAUAUAAAAAGUAUACCUAUUAACUUUCUUCUGCGAAACAAUGUGAAAUAAUAGUAAUGAUAAUAAUAAUAAGUAUUAUUCUUCAAAAUUUUAAACCAUCACUUUUGGGUUAAAUUUAAAUUCUCGUGUUCCUACAAGCAGUUAUUAUUUUCGAAAAUAUCGAAACAAGCGAUAUUUUUAAUAUUUAUAUUCAACAUCUCCUAUUCCCUCCCCCUCAUUUCUAUUAUUUAUUAUGUGCCCUACUAGAUCCAUAACCCACUGUACAUGAUCUCUGUUCCUUGCCCUUCCACAUAGAUAUAUAUAUAUAUACAAGUCCCUCACCAAUUCUUAGGGACUGAAACUAAUAAAUCGUACUCCUCUCCAAUCACCAACAAUCUCUCUCUCUCUCUCUCUCUCUCUCUCUCUCUCUCUCUCUCUCUCUCUCUCUAAACCAGUUAGUGGGGGGAGAGAAAGCAUGGGGAGAGCUCCAUGUUGUGAGAAGGUGGGGUUGAAGAAGGGGAGGUGGACUGAAGAGGAGGACGAGAUAUUGGUUAAGUAUAUUACCACCCAUGGUGAAGGUUCUUGGAGAUCCUUGCCUAAGAAUGCAGGUACAAUACAUAUACAUGCAUGCCACUAAGCAAGUACUUCUCAAUUUGAUUCUAUCUCUACUUUCUCUCUCUAAAAAUGUUGGUUGGAGCUAGAUAUUUGCUUUUGGAGACAAAUGAUUUUGUCACAUAAAUGCAUGCAUGUAUGGUACCAGAGCAGAAGAUUUUCAAAACAAGUCUUUUUUUUUCAGAUUCUUAUUCUCAUACGAAUAAUUAAAGUACCAUUUCAUCGCAACUUAAGUUUUUAGAGAUUAGCGAUUAGUUCGCACCGAAUUAGAGAAACUUUAUAGUAUAUAUAUAUAUAUAUAUAUACCCAACUCAUCAUAAGUUGAUCAUCACCUUCUUCUUCUUCGUCCUUUUACUAGGGCUUUUGAGGUGUGGGAAGAGCUGCAGGUUAAGGUGGAUAAAUUAUCUUAGAGCAGAUCUAAAGAGGGGAAAUAUUUCUCAGGAGGAGGAGGAGAUGAUAGUAAAACUCCAUGCCACCCUUGGGAACAGGUACUAUGGAUCUUCUAUAUCUUUCUCUUUCUAUGCUCACCAUCCUGCAUUUUUUACCAUAAACGUCCAUCAUUUUACUGGGUUUUUCUCCGAAUGAUAACAUUAUAAUUAAUCAAAAUUAACUAUGUGAGGUUGGAUAUAAUUAAUUGGAGGUUGUGUUGGGAAAUUUAUUUGCCUUUGUGUUUGGUACCUAAACUCAAUAUAGUAUUCACUACUUAAAUUAAUUACCUUCUCUGGGUUAUGUUUUCUGAAAAGAUCCAAACACUAUUAAAAAGAAAAAUUAAAAAAAAAAUAUCCUGCACGGUAAAAUGCGCUUAUUAACUAAGACAAAAAAUUAUAAAAACUUAUCCUUUUAUGAAAAUUGUAACUCAGACCGUCCUUAGAGCUCGUGUUUGAGUUAGUCAUAGUUUUUACAACAUAUUGAGAUUUGCUUCCACUGUUGCUUUCGGUAGCAAUCGCAUCUUUUCUUUUGCUAUAUUAAGAAAUAAUAAUAAUAACAAUUACGAAGCUUAAAAUUAAAUAUUUAAUUAAAAAAGUUUCGAUCUAAUGCUUCUCUUAAAAGCAUUACUCAAACGAUACGUACAGCUGCGUACAUAUCAUAAAUAUCACUGCACUACAUCACUAUUUCUUUUCUCUUUCAUAAAAAAAGCUCGAGACCUGGCCCACACGUCCCGUACCAUUAUUGAUGCUGUUAUUAUAAAAUUAUUCACUUAUUAUUAUUAUUUUUUUUGUUCUUCGUUUCCCACAAGGGCGUUGUUUAUGUUUAACAACGUGGGAAGAGUCAGAGUGCGGGGUGGUUGUGGGGCCCACGCACGCAUCGGAGCUAGCGAAUCAGAAGCGGCCUUCUGCGCGGGUCGCAGGGGGUGGGCCCCGCCACGGCUGCGGCAGACGUGGCGUCCUGUGCGCCGUCGGUGGUGAUGCACGUGGGCGAAAUCGUCCACUUACCGUUUCGUCCACGUCACCGACUCUCUGUUUUGUCCUUUUCCCAUGUGCGGUUUAUUUCCUCUUUUUUCCACAAAUUUUAGUAUUUUACCUCAUUAUUCUACAAAAAGUACGUAUCCUUAGCAGCCAAGUAUAGAACGUUAACAAAAAGUAAAAUAAUAAUAAUAAUAAUAAUAAUAAUAAUAAUAAUAAAUUAUAUAAAAUUUAUCUGAAUUAUAGAUUUUUUUAGUCCCACAAAUUUGACCUUUCAAAAUUUUACUUUUAGUAUUUAUUUUUUUUAAAAUUUAUUUGAUUUGAAUAGUUAUCACCGGAUAUAAAAUUUUUACUUGUUUUAACAAAUUUAUAGUUAGACGAAUUAUAUAAAAUAUAUUAACUAAACUCGCAAAGAUAAACAAUGCAUUCAAAUUUUAAAAUUCAAGGAUUACUAACCCGCUUAAGUUAAUAAAUUAAAAUAUUAGAUAAUAAAAUUAAAAUUUUUUAAUGUCAGAUAGUUAAUUAGAUCGACAUGGGUGAUAGUUAAAGCAAUUAAGCCUUACACUUUACCUAAUAAUAAUUUCUUUGACUACUCUGCAACUAAUUAUUAGGAGGUGGGAACUCUUUAACGUACACGACGUAUUAUGUUAACAAGUUUGUAGAUCUGUGAACAGUUCUAUUGAAAAAAUUACUCACAUGUCCUAUCAAUUCUUUUUCUCUCUUUCUCAAUAUAUAUAUAUAUAUAUAUAUAUAUAUAUAUAGUUGAGCUGGAAUGCUAUCGGUAGCAAACGGGCUCUGUUGCCACCCAUUUGUUUUCGAUGAUGGAGCUUUCAAAUUGACGAUCGGCACUAUUGAACAUGAUCUAUAUCACUUGAAGUAUUUAGAAAUUAAAUUUCAAAUCUUUUCGAUAUCAUUUACCUAAUGAUCAAAGGGUUUCAAAAUUAGUAAUUUUAAUGGUUGAUAUGAGGGGUUUCUCGUUUAACGGUGUAAAGUUAUCCAAAUCAAUUGAAUUUUGGUUAGAAAAUUCUUUAAACUAUUUAGAACAAGAUCUAUACUCUCGAUCAUGAUUACAAAAUUUCUAUCAUCACUUUUUAGAGGACAUUCAUUUUCAGCCAUUCAUUUUUACGCCCACUUGAUGGACAAGAAAACAAUAUCGGAAAAGUAUGAAAUUUGACAAGAAAACAAUAUCGAAAAUUCUUUAAACAUCACUUUUUAGAGUCCAGCUACUAUACUAUUGAUAGUACCAAGCCCUUGGUACUAUUGAGUUUUCUACCGUAGGAUCUACCCUUUGGUCAUUUCCACCCGUUAGAUUAUACUAUUAAACUAACCACCCACUCAACCCUAGGGGACCACUAUCAAUUUAACCGGGGACUACUAUCAUCCUAACCGCACAUCCUUUCAUCCAACGGCCGAAAACUCAAUAGUACUAAGGGCUUGGUACUAUUGAUAGUAUAGUAGCAUAAUUCUAUAUAUAUAUAUAUAGAGAGAGAGAGAGAAUCCGGCUGGGGUACUAUCGAUAGCACCACGCAUUUGGUGCUAUCGAGUUUUCCACCGUUAGAUUUAACCUUCUGAUUAUUUUUAUCCGUUAGAUUAUACUAUUCAACCAACCACUCACUCAACCCUAGGGGACCCACAUUAUUCUAACCACCUAUUUCUUAAUCCAAGGACUAAAAAAUCAAUAGCACCAAUAACUUGGUACUAUUGAUAAUAUUCCAACCUAGUUCUAUAUAUAUAGAGUCCGGCUACUAUACUAUUGAUAGUAUCAAGCCUUUGGUACUAUUGAGUUUUCUACCAUUAGAUCUACCCUUUGAUCAUUUCCACCCGUUAGAUUAUACUAUUANUAUAUAUAUAUAUAUAUAUAUAUAUAUAUAUAUAUAUAUAUAUAUAUAUAUAUAUAUAUAUAUAUUUUUGUCAGGGUUGGCACGGUUGACAUUUUAUUCUCACCGGCUCAUAUUAAUUUGGAGGAGAAGAUUAGGUGUUUCUGGAAGGAUCCAUCUAUCCAUGCAGUCAAAUUACAUACUCGACACGUGUUCGUCAAAUUUAGGUGCGUUCACACCACGUUUGUGCGAUUUUUUCACAGGGGUUGUUGAAAACUUGUAGUUUGAAAAAUCUCUGCGUCCGCGCGCACGCCUGCCUGCGACUCUGCAGCAAAAGUCAGUCUCUAGACCUCGCUUACAAAUAGAUUGUGCUUUGUUUAAAAAAUAUAUAUAUUGAAAGAGGCAACUCUCUCUUUCUUUUAUAUAGAACACUUUAGAAUGCUCUAAAAAUAAGUGUUCUCUCUACUUACUAAUAGAACACUCUAGAGUACUCUACAAAUAAAUAUUCUCUCUCUUUAUAGAACACUUUAGAAACAAGUGCUCUCUACUUGCUAAUAGAGCACAUAAGAAAGUUCUAGAAAUAACUGCUCUAGAAUACUCUAGAGUACUCAUGUAUAUAGGAUGAAGCCUAUAAAUAGGUGAGGCCUCCACACCAAAUGGUAGAGUGAAGAGUGAGAAGUAGUGAAGAAAAGGUGAGAGUGGUGGUGUGAGGUGACGAAGUAUUGUGAGGUGUAGUGAAGUAGUGAAGUGAGUGUGUGAGGCUUGUAGUCUUUUGGGUGUAUGUAUUAGUGAGUGUGUGAGUUAGAAUAAUUUAUAUGUGAGAGUUAUUUUCUCUGUAAUAAAGAGAGUUUUAUUAUUAGUUUGGUACGCCAAUAUUCAAAUCUGAUGAAAUUUUUACAGAAAAUUCUUUUCA
Molecule: long non-coding RNA, 44302 nt
Filed under: Ananas comosus (pineapple)
Lineage: Eukaryota; Viridiplantae; Streptophyta; Magnoliopsida; Poales; Bromeliaceae
Description: long non-coding RNA (ACOM_LNC006520)
Source: RNAcentral